This 204-nucleotide long non-coding RNA is filed under the name Elaeis guineensis (African oil palm). RNAcentral's name for it is "long non-coding RNA (EGUI_LNC049983)". The record is from RNAcentral. Lineage: Eukaryota; Viridiplantae; Streptophyta; Magnoliopsida; Arecales; Arecaceae.
AGUUGACAGUUAACCUGAAACCAUCCUAAAGCAUCCAGGGUCAAAAGGAUGAAUUAUGCGGUAACCAUAUGUAUGGAUUUUGAAAUAUUCUUUUAUGAUAAUUUGACCUAUCUGAAUAUUAAAAAUUAUUGCUAGAUGGUAUCUCGAUUAGUGCAGAUAUUAGUUCCUGUGCUACCGGCUUAGUAUUUGACCCUAUGAAGUCAC